GUGAGGAAUAUUGGACAAUGGGCGCAAGCCUGAUCCAGCCAUGCCGCGUGAGUGAUGAAGGCCUUAGGGUUGUAAAACUCUUUUAGUGGGGAAAAUAAUGAUGGUACCCACAGAAAAAGCUCCGGCUAACUUCGUGCCAGCAGCCGCGGUAAUACGAAGGGAGCUAGCGUUACUCGGAAUCACUGGGCGUAAAGCGCAUGUAGGCGGAAUGCUAAGUCAGAGGUGAAAGCCCUGGGCUCAACCCAGGAAUUGCCUUUGAAACUGACAUUCUUGAGUAUGACAGAGGAUAGUGGAAUUUCCAGUGUAGAGGUGAAAUUCGUAGAUAUUGGAAAGAACACCAGUGGCGAAGGCGGCUAUCUGGGUCAUAACUGACGCUGAGAUGCGAAAGCGUGGGGAGCGAACGGGAUUAGAUACCCUGGUAGUCC
RNAcentral lists this ribosomal RNA (425 nucleotides) under uncultured bacterium. RNAcentral describes it as "bacterial SSU rRNA". It matches the Rfam family "Bacterial small subunit ribosomal RNA", at positions 354 to 796 of the family's 1533-position model. The record is from RNAcentral.